AUUGAACGCUGGCGGCAUGCCUUACACAUGCAAGUCGAACGAGGGUAGCAAUACCUUAGUGGCGAACGGGUGAGUAAUAUAUCGGAACGUACCCUAGAGUGGGGGACAACCAGUCGAAAGACUGGCUAAUACCGCAUACGAUCUACGGAUGAAAGUGGGGGACCGCAAGGCCUAACGCUCCUGGAGCGGCCGAUAUCUGAUUAGCUAGUUGGUAGGGUAAAAGCCUACCAAGGCAUCGAUCAGUAGCUGGUCUGAGAGGACGAUCAGCCACACUGGGACUGAGACACGGCCCAGACUCCUACGGGAGGCAGCAGUGGGGAAUUUUGGACAAUGGGGGAAACCCUGAUCCAGCAAUGCCGCGUGAGUGAAGAAGGCCUUCGGGUUGUAAAGCUCUUUUGUCAGGGAAGAAAAGGCUAUGGCUAAUAUCCAUGGCUGAUGACGGUACCUGAAGAAUAAGCACCGGCUAACUACGUGCCAGCAGCCGCCGUAA
RNAcentral lists this ribosomal RNA (490 nucleotides) under uncultured bacterium. RNAcentral's name for it is "partial 16S ribosomal RNA". It matches the Rfam family "Bacterial small subunit ribosomal RNA", at positions 30 to 523 of the family's 1533-position model. The record is from RNAcentral.